RNAcentral lists this ribosomal RNA (774 nucleotides) under uncultured Neocallimastigales. RNAcentral describes it as "partial large subunit ribosomal RNA". It matches the Rfam family "Eukaryotic large subunit ribosomal RNA", at positions 26 to 617 of the family's 3401-position model. Lineage: Eukaryota; Fungi; Neocallimastigomycota; Neocallimastigomycetes; Neocallimastigales. The record is from RNAcentral.
CGCAUCUGUGCAUGCAGCAUAUCAAUAAGCGGAGGAAAAGAAACUAACAAGGAUUCCCCUAGUAACGGCGAGUGAAGCGGGAAGAGCUCAAAUUUGAAAUCUUAAAGGGUUUCCCUUUACGAAUUGUAGUUUAAAGAAGUGUUUUCUGUUGAGGUUUUGGUAAAAGUUCUUUGGAAUAGGACAUCAUAGAGGGUGAGAAUCCCGUAUUUGACCUUUACUUUCAACUUUGUGAUACACUUUCAAAGAGUCGGAUUGUUUGGGAAUGCAGUCCAAAAUGGGUGGUAAAUUUCAUCUAAAGCUAAAUAUUGGCGAGAGACCGAUAGCGAACAAGUACCGUGAGGGAAAGAUGAAAAGAACUUUGAAAAGAGAGUUAAACAGUACGUGAAAUUGUCAAAAGGGAAGCGUUUGACACCAGUGUUGUUUUUCUGAAAAUCAAUUAAAGAACUGUUUAUGCUAAGCUGUUUAGACUUUAUCAGCUAUCUGUUUAGUUUUGAGCUUUUCUUUAAUGCACUUUUCAGUUAACAAGUCAACAUCAAUUUCUUUUGCUGUAAAAAAGCUUGAGGAAGGUGGCUUGAGAUUCGUCUUAAGUGUUUAUAGCCUCUUGCCUAUGCAGUCGGAGAGAUUGAGGUCUGCAGCGUAGAUCCUUCGGGGCUAAAUGCAUUUGUGCUAAGUUAUAGCAUUUUAUAGACAACUUGUUGACUAUGAUUUGUCUUGUAGCUUACUCGCUUAUCGUUAUUUUACCUACGCUUAGGAUGUUGAGUCAUCACACAUCUC